AGCUGUGCGACUCGUCCAAGGAACACUACUGCUGCAAGAAGAACGGUUUUUGUUCCUGAGUUGGAAUGUUCCCCAAAACGGUGAAUCUGAUGUGAAUUUGCUUGAUGAACAUGUGAAUGCAUUCUGGAAUUAUCAAAAGGAUAAAUUGCUUCUGUGACAACCUUUCACAUUAACAAAACAGAUUUUACACCAUUUGCCAUCAGUAUAAAACAAUAUAAUCAUCUUCUGGGCUUAGCGCCACCAUUGCCUUUGCUCGCAGACUUGCCACCUUUGCCUUUGUUCGCAGGCUUGCCACGUUUGCCUUUGCUCGCACCUUUGCCACCCGUUUUACCACCUUUUCCACCACCUUUGCCAGGCUUGCCACUUCCUCGGGAUCGUGAAUCCUUCUUCAUGCGACGAUCCACCACAAGCUUCCCUUUGCCACCCUUGACCCCGCCCUUCUUCGCCACAACGAGCUCCCGCUUGGGACGCUUAGUGGUCGUCGCCGCCGCUUUCUUGUAAACCUUGUCCAUCAUCCUGUUCUUGGACUUGUUCGAGAUGUUCGGCUGAUCGGCAAUCGCCGCCGCUUUGCUCCGUGCUUGCUCCAUUUUCUUCAUCACCCUCCGCUUCUUGUGAGCCUUGGCCUCAGCAACCUUCUUCACGGGCCUCGCGUUUAUCGCUCUAAACUGAGCCCUCAUCGCCUGGACCUCUUCCUUGGUGAAUGCCGCUUCUCGUCGUCCGCGAACCAUUCCGGAAGCCCCUCGUCGUCGAACAUGUACUUGUUGUACGCGUCGUCGAUGAUCCUGUCCCUGUCCUUCUUCAGCAGUAUCUUCUUGGCGUAAGUGAGGAUCUCUGCCUUGGCAUCGCUGUCGUAGUCCUCCUCUUCGUCCGAGGAAGAGUCAGACGAACCACUCGGCUCGGCUGCUACAACUUCAAAGUCUUCCCGUGCUCUCUUGAGAUUUCCUGGCGCAACCGUGAGAUCGCUCGGAGGAGCGUUCUUGGCAGUCUUCUUGGUAUCCAUCUCCUGGGUUUGAUCUAAACCGGCGAAGACGUUUUGCCUGAACCAUUGCUGUGCAAUCUGUUCCUUCGAGAGCUUGGCCUUGGGAAGCGACACGACGAGAGGAUUGGCCUCCUCCUCCUCUUCUUCUACUUCGUUUUCUUCUUCUUCAGAAGCAUUCUCUUCCACGUCCUCCUAAGGAUAUUGUCAGCUGCUUGCAAGUUCUAACACUUUCAUUUGGCUUACCUCCCACAGCUUUUCGUCUCCUGCAUUAGCCAUUCUUGCGCGUUUCCGCCGUGCAGUGUUGCUUUCAGUCUUGCCCGGUAGCGUUCGUAUGCACAAUCGAGGAAAGAUUCCAGCUCGUCGUUGUAUCUGCGAGAGAUUACGUUAACACUUCCAAGGCGUAGUUCUUACCUUUCGCGCUCGACGUCAGAAUCCACAUCAUUGUCUUCGUCAUCCUUCCGCUCCAUGUCCUGCUUACUCGUUUCAUCCUUCACAUUGUCAUCGCUGUCUAACAUGUCGUCAUCCGCACCUUCGACCCGAUCCAAGCUUUUCUUCACCUGGAAAAAUGUAUCCAACACGAGCUCAUAGGCACUGACGAGAAAGCGGACAAACAUACCUUGAUUGAGCCCAAAGAGAACAGAUCCCGCUCGCCAUAAGUGUCUCCCAAGACAUCGACUUGCAUCCCUGUUCUAUUUCGUGCGUUAGUGUUGUGGCCCAUCAACAUACACCACCAACAAAAGAUAGACAAACAAUAUGUACCUUCUGUUUUCGCUUGGCAGCCUUCUUCUUCGCCUGCUUGCUUUUCGAAUCCAUUAGAGACUUGAGCUCCUUCAUUUUGUUUAGCGUAUCCUCGUCUUCAUCUUCUUCUUUUUCGUCGUCAUCCUUUUCAGCAGCCUUAUCACCCUCUGUUUCCUCCGAAGCUGACGUUUUCGAAAGAGCUUUUCGUACAUGCAGGCACCACCUGAGAGAACCAAAUGAGCAUGAAAGACAACAGCCACAAGAAGUAGAACCUACUUCAAAAGUUGCUUGAAUUCUUUCUUCCCCAGAACUCUAAGGUCUUCGCAUAAUGCCUUUAUCUACAAGAAAAAAGUCCUCCAAAUCAAAACAAGCAAACGAGGAUUAGAUAUGAACGUACCUCGUCAGUUGUUUCAGCGUGGUCUUUGAUUGGCGGAUCCUCAAACGAAAUAGACGUGAUGCUACCAAGAAGCUCUAGAGGUUUUUCGGACCAGACGAAGUCUGCUGCCGUGCAGUCUUUACGAAAAGGAGGAGCAAAGCGGAGGAGCACAAAGAGGCGAUGAAGGCCAAAGCGGGAGAGGCCGAGGAGCACGGCAGGGACUGCUUGAGUCGGUGGGCUAGGCUGUGAGUCACGCGGCCUUCUCGCUGAAGGGCGCCGUUGUGGGUGGCAGCGGGAAACGGUCGAGAAGUCUUCCGAAGAGGCCGAUAGUGCCAACCGAGGAAAAAUGUGAAGAAUUGAGUGUGCUUAGUUAAUUAAUAAGCCAUAGCUUUUGUCGUUGAUCUCAUUACAAAUUAUUGAAUUACUUACCUGCACAUAUGAAAAUCUUGGCUGAGAUUGCGAAGCCCGUUCUGCUGUUCAGCAGCUUCCGUGAUCGCUGUCCAUGAAUUCCGUAUGAUCUCGAAGCACUCCUCCCCCUCCCUCUGGGAUAAAACACUUACAAAAACCCGGAAAAACUUUCAAUGCCAACCUUGAAAGCGUUCGAGACGAUGUCAUAGUACGUAGUGUAUGGAACAAUGUUCUCGAACUGUAGUAUCGGUGCUGACGACGCGAGAGCUCCGAUCGCAAUGUGCGGAUACUUCAGCCGAAACCACGCAGCCAACACUGAAAAAAGCUUGUGAGAACCUCCAAAGAAAAUCUCAUUGAAACCACCUUACUUCCACCAUAAGAACCGCCAAAGACCACCACUGGCGAUGCUUGCGCUGAGAGAUUCCUCUUGAGAUCAAGUAUGAGCGUCGCGAAAUCGGCCAGAGCUUGCUCGGCAGAGCAAAAUGCCAGUUCCUUAGGACCGUUUUGGCCUCCAAAAGGCUGUGAUUUUCCAUAGAAUCGGUGCUACAAUCACAGAAAGAGAGAGAGAGAGAUUGAUCGAAGGAAAGAAGAACGAGAAAGAACAAAAACCAACCUCCGGGAAGACGAGCAGUGCUCUAAAGAGAUGAGCAAUAUCAAACAUAAACCCAGUGUUCUCGGCAAACCACACAAUGUCGCCCUUGUUACCACAGUAGACCAAGAUGGGAGCUCCACUGGCACCUCCACUCCACGAGGCACUGUGGAGGAGAUAGUGCUGAACUAAUACUUAAACAAUGUAUUGCGGAUACUUAAACAAUGUAUUGCGGAUGUCGUCAUCUGUGAGAUUUGGUAUAAUAUUAGUAGAGAUAUGAUAAUCUGAGCUUCGCUCAUCUGCCUGGAAACGCACAAGCGAUCAGCAAGACUAGAUCCACAAUAAUACUUAGGCGAAGCCUUCUUUCAAGGCAAGCAGCAGCGCAGCUCCUCUUCUCAGCAAUUGCAUGCGAUGAUGGUGAUGAGUUCUUGUUCGCCAUUCCUUUGCGUUUACCUGAAUCAGGAGGGCAAUCGCUGCCAGGAGCAAGAGCGCGCAGCUCCUCGCCAUUUUUAUCCCUAAAGUCGUCAAAAAGUGGAGCUAAGGGACUACUUUACUGUGUAAUUAAUUUAAACCUGUAAGUAAUCAAAAUAUCUCUCGGGUCACGUACGGGGAUGCCAGUUUUCCCGUACUCUCCGUUCCUUUAGUCCAGGCUUUUCCAUUCAAUAUCGGGUUGUUGCUCUCCAGAAUACUUUAAUCUCUGGUCCUGCAAUUUUGUCACUGCAAUGGAACUAACAAGUUUCAUUCAGCGCAGAUUUCCAUCAGCCUAGUAGCGACAUUCCCUUCAUUUCUGAAUAGUAGCCAAUCAGCUUAAGCAUGGACGUCCCACGCGAUGCACGCAGGCAUUGCCCAGCAGCAGCGCAUAUAAACAGAUGCAAGCUUGAAAUUGUAGCUCUAAAGUUUCAGUUCAAUGGCGAAAUUGCUUGUUCUUUUCUCCCUCCUCUUCGGCCUGCUGCUCUUGGCAACCGAUGCAUCUCGCAACACUCAGCGUACGUGCGAACUUCUGCAUUGCAAUUUCAAAUCUGUGGAAUCCAUAUGCAGCGGUUGACAAGGAGGGCACCAGUGAGAAUUACAAUGUCAUUGUCGAGGGACCUCGUGAAGGCAGCGAGGCUGGCCCUGGUCUCAACAACUUUGUCACCCAGCAGCUCCCUGGGAAGCACGGUAUGAUCAGGAGCUUUUGUUAUGCCCCACUGUUUCUCCGUUUGUUUAUGCUGCAGGCCUCCAAGAUACAUACUGUUGCCGGAAGGAUGCUUUCGGAUCAUGUCUUCAGGAGUGCGACUCGGGCGUCAAUUACUACUGCUGCCUCAAGAAUGGAUUGGGCGGCUGUUUGCAGCUGUGCGACUCGUCCAAGAAACACUACUGCUGCAAGAAGAACCCUUUUGGUACCUGCCUUGGAAUGUGCCCCAAAACGUUGAAUCUGAUGGAUUUUGCUUGAUGAACAUGUGUGACUGCAUUCUGGAAUUAUCAAAAGAAUAAAUUGCUUCUGUGACAACCUUUCACUUUAACAAAACACCAUUUGCCAUCAGUGUAAAACAAUAUAAUCAUCUUCUGGGCUUAGCGCCACCAUUGCCUUUGCUCGCAGGCUUGCCACCUUUGCCUCUGUUCGCAGGCUUGCCACGUUUGCCUUUGCUCGCACCUUUGCCACCCGUUUUACCACCUUUUCCACCGCCUUUGCCAGGCUUGCCACUUCCUCGGGAUCGUGAGUCCUUCUUCAUGCGACGAUCCACCACAAGCUUCCCUUUGCCACCCUUGACCCUCACGCCCUUCUUCGCCACAACGAGCUCCCGCUUGGGACGCUUAUUGGUCGUCGCCGCCGCUUUCUUGUAAACCUUGUCCAUCAUCCUGUUCUUGGACUUGUUCGAGAUGUCCGGCUGAUCGGCAAUCGCCGCCGCUUUGCUCCGUGCUUGCUCCAUUUUCUUCAUCACCCUCCGCUUCUUGCGAGCCUUGGCCUCAGCAACCUUCUUCACGGGCCUCGCGUCUAUCGCUCUAAACUGAGCCCUCAUCGCCUGGACCUCUUCCUUGGUGAAUGCCGCUUCUCGUCGUCCGCGAACCAUUCCGGAAGCCCCUCGUCGUCGAACAUGUACUUGUUGUACGCGUCGUCGAUGAUCCUGUCUCUGUCCUUCUUCCGCAGCAUCUUCUUGGCGUAAGUGAGGAUCUCUGCCUUGGCGUCGCUGUCGUAGUCCUCCUCUUCGUCCGAGGAAGAGUCGGACGAACCACUCGGCUCGGCUGCUACAACCUCAAAGUCUUCCCGUGCUCUCUUGAGCUUUCCUGGCGCAACCGUGACAUCGCUCGGAGGAGCGUCCUUGGCAGUCUUUGGUCCCUUGGUAUCCGUCUCCGGGGUUUGAUCUAAACCGGCGAAGAUGUCUUGACUGAACCAUUGCUGUGCAAUCUGUUCCUUCGAGAGCUUGGCCUUGGGAAGCGACACGACGAGAGGAUUGGCCUCCUCCUCCUCCUCUUCUUCUACUUCGUUUUCUUCUUCCUCAGAAGCAUUCUCUUCCACGUCCUCCUAAGGAUAUUGUCAGCUGCUUGCAAGUUCUAACACUUUCAUUUGGCUUACCUCCCACAGCUUUUCGUCUCCUGCAUUAGCCAUUCUUGCGCGUUUCCGCCGUGCAGUGUUGCUUUCAGUCUUGCUCCGGUAGCGUUCGUAUGCACGAUCGAGGAAAGAUUCCAGCUCGUCGUUGUAUCUGCGAGAGAUUACGUUAACACUUCCAAGGCGUAGUUCUUACCUUUCGCGCUCGACGUCAGAAUCCACAUCAUUGUCUUCGUCAUCCUUCUGCUCCAUAUCCUGCUUACUCGUUUCAUCCUUCACAUUGUCAUCGCUGUCUAACAUGUCGUCAUCCGCACCUUCGACCCGAUCCAAGCUUUUCUUCGCCUGGAAAAAUGUAUCCAACAGGAGCUCAUAGGCACUGACGAGAAAGCGGACAAACAUACCUUGAUUGAGCCCAAAGAGAACAGAUCCCGCUCGCCAUAAGUGUCUCCCAAGACAUCGACUUGCAUCCCUGUUCUAUUUCGUGCGUUUAGCUGCAGUGUUGUGGCCCAUCAACAUACACCACCAACAAAAGAUAGACAAACAAUAUGUACCUUCUGUUUACGCUUGGCAGCCUUCUUCUUCGCCUGCUUGCUUUUCGAAUCCAUUAGAGACUUGAGCUCCUCCAUUUUCUUUAGCAUAUCCUCGUCUUCAUCUUCUUCUUUUUCGUCGUCAUCCUUUUCAGGAGCCCUAUCACCCUCUGUUUCCUCCGAAGCUGACGUUUUCGAAAGAGCUUUUCGUACAUGCAGGCACCACCUGAGAGAACCAAAUGAGCAUGAAAGACAACAGCCACGAGAAGUAAAACUUACUUCAACAGUUGCUUGAAUUCUUUCUUCCCCAGAACUCUAAGGUCUUCGCAUAAUGCCUUUAUCUACAGGACAAAGUCCUCCCAAUCAAAACAAGAAAACGAGGAAUAGAUAUGAACGUACCUCGUCAGUUGUUUCAGCGUGGUCUUUGAUUGGCGAACUUUUGGGAUCCUCAAACGAAAUAGACGUGAUGCUACCAAGAAGCUCUAGAGGUUUUUCGGACCAGACGAAGUCUGCUGCCGUGCAGUCUUUACGAAAGGUAGUGUUAGCAUCAUCGUAUCUGCAGGAAAAGAAAAACAUAAAACCAAGAGUCUAUUUGACGUGAGAACCCACCCCUCGCGGUGACGUUUCUGUUUACUACUACGAAGAACGUCGAUCACCUACACAAUUUACUCGGCUUUAGCGCAAGCACCUUGUUUACAAUACCAAAACCCACCUUUGGGGGCUGAGGAAUCUCUUCAAAUAAAAAGCGAGGGUCCAAGUUACGCGGAUCGAUUUUCACGGGUGCCAGAUACUUGAGACCAACCACGUAUAUUUCAGCCGAUGUCGAACGACUUGCUAUGGGUUUCGUGACUUCCACCUUGGCAAACAGCUACCAAACGAUACAAGAGGCAAUGAAUUAUCACUCAAAAAACCAUGACAAACAUACCUGUUCAAAUGCAUACUUCAGCGCGUUAUAAUCUUGGGAUCGAAAAACCUGCAAGAAAAAACCAAUUUUGGGAAUCAGAGAAGAAGGAAAAAUUCAAAAGUGGAGGAAGAAAAGGAAUUCCUCGUACCUUGGUGACAAACGUUCCUUUGGGAGCCAGAAACUUGGUAGCCAACUUCAAAGAAUCCAGGACAAGAGACGACUGCGUCAUGGCUUCUUUGGCCCAGGCACCUCCCACAUUGGGGGAGCCAUCGUGGAGCACAACAUCGACCAUCCUCAACCCAUUCUGGUCGAGAAUCUUCCCAAUAUCGGACGCGCAUUUUGGAGUGGUGAUAUCGCCCUGGAGCGACAGCGCCCCUCUCACGGGGCGAAUCGGCACCAGAUCCACGCCGAUUAUCACAGACCUCACGGGCAUCUUCUCCACGGCCACCUGCAUCCAUCCCCCGGGCGCCGCGCACAAAUCCAGCACCGAGUGCGCCGAGCUGAGGAAGCCAUACUUGCGAUCGAGCUGCACGAGCUUGAAUGCGGCACGGGAGCGGUAGCCCUGCUCCUUGGCGAGGUAGUAGAAGCGAUCCAAGCGGUGCUUCCCCUUCUUCGCCUUCCCCAUCCCUGCAAGACCUAAAACCCUACGAGGAACCCUAAAACCCCACUUUAGGUUUACAAUAAAUAUUCUGGUGGAUAUUCGAGCACUUUUAUAAUGCGUACAUUCAUAAAGUCUUCCCUUCUUGGGUGAUAUACGAGGUAGUUACCUUAAGCAUGCAUCGCGUGGGGAUGGGGACGCCCACGCGAUGCAUGCAGGCAUUCCCCCUUUAUAAACAGAUGCAGAACUUUGUAUUGUCAAGCAUAAUAUUUCUGGUUUCAGUUCAAGGAGAAUGGCCAAAGUUCUUCUUUCCACCCUCCUCUUUGGCCUGCUGCUCUUCGUAGCUGAUGCAUCUCGCAACACUCAGCGUACGUGCAAACACUUCCGCAUUCGUGCAAAUCGUUUCUCUAACCUGCAGAAUGGUUCUAGUGACUGGCAGGGAGAGCGAUGUGACUUACGUCGUCGAGGGGCCUCGUGAAGGUAACGAGGCUGCUGAUCUCAAUGUUGUCAUCCGGAACACCCCGAAACACGGUAACUUAGAUCACGUUAUGAUCUUCCUUGUAGCUGUCCUUGUGACAUUGAUUAUGCCACUGCUUUUCCGUUUUUGAUGAUUGCAGGCCUCCAAGAUACAUACUGCUGCCUGAGGAACGGCUUUGGAUGUCUUCAGGAGUGCGACUCCAACAUCAAUUACUACUGCUGCCUGAAGAAUGGAUUCGGAUGCCUACAGCUCUGCGAGCCCAACGUUAAUUAUUUCUGCUGCCUCAAGGAUGGAUUUGGCAGCUGCCAGCAGCUCUGCGACUCAUCCAAGGAACACUACUGCUGCAAAAAGAACGGCUUUGGGACCUGCACUGGAAUGUGCCCCAAAACCGUGAACCUGAUGAAGUGAUCCGCGUUUGAUGAAAAGUGUAUGCAACAUCUGGAAUCAAAAGCUUGUAAUUGCUGAUACUCUUUACAAUUUUUUUACGCUAGACAUUUACAUCUGGAACCUGAUACAACUGAGUUUGUAAGUUCCCUUUUAGCAUAGCUUGCCAUGCCACUGCUGCUGGAUCGUCCAUUGGGAGACAAGUAGCACUGGAGGCGUUACAAUCCCCUUUGAACAAGGUCUCAGCGCCUCAUUUAAGUAAAUUGUAAGAAAAAAAAACUUGGAAGCUGUUAUAGUCCCAUGUGCUCCACACGUGAAAGGUUCUAAGAAUAUCUUAUCUUAUGAAUAAUUGUUUAAACUUGAGCUUUAGCUCGAUUCAUGAGAUCGUCCCAACACACCUAGGAAAGAACGGUGCGCUUUCUUGUCAUGUCUUCCAAUUCCAUGCUGAUAUUCAUCGCCACCUUUGGUUUCUCAAUUGUCUAGCGCAUAAUGCAUCGUCUCAAUGACACUGGAAACGCCAUUGUCCUCCAAGUGUUGGAUUGUUCACCCACCAAUAGGGAACGUAGGAGCAAACCUCGCAAGGGUCUCAGUUCUACUUGUCAGUCUUCCUCCCAAUGGACGCCAUGGAACUAUCCAGCAGCGGUGGCAUGGCGAGCUACGCGAAAACCCGUCCGAAAAGGUGCGUACGGCGACCUAGUGCUGAGCGACGUAGAUGAAAGCUUUGUGUGGUCGACCAACAAGGGCCUCGAGAGCUCUGGAAAUCUCGUAAUCCGGAGCAAAACUGGAGCUUUGCUGUGGCAGAGCUUUGAUCAUCCCGGUGAUGCUAUGCUCCCUGCCAGCCUCUAAAACCAGGGAUGAAGUUAGUAGCCAGCAUCUCUAACGAGAAGAAAGAGCGAGGGUACUUCUCACUCGAGGUAAGCCGCUUCUUGGUCGCUUUGAACUCCAGUAUGUUGGGAUCUUUUGGAGAGCUCUGGAGCUCCGACGAGGAAGAAGAAGAGAUAUCGUUUCUCUUCCUCAUCAAUAGCAGCUUGGAAAUCCACGGGACGAAAGGUGUUAUGUGGUCCACUCCAACGAUCGGUGCUUACUGGUCAAUCCGGAUACCAGUUACUCAAGAUCUACUCCAAUGGAGAGCUCCAGUUUACCUCGAGAUCAUUCAGCAGCAGCAACAGCACGAAGAGCAUCGACUUAAAACCCGCAGUUAUUCGGGAACAGCUUGCUUACUCGAACCUGUGGGAUCUCGUUCCAGACAGCUGACGGAUGCCUCUGUCCGGAGCUCAAGAACGACACCAGGGGAUCGUCAUCCAUGGAGUACGUUUCUUCCGGGGACAAGGAGAGGUGCAAGCCCGAAAACGAACCUGGAGGAACCUGGAAGAACCUGCGAGAACUCGCAACAUUACUACAUGCUCGAAGCCACAGUACGAUACUUCUACAAACCUCUAGAUUUAUCCAGUGCGCUCCACAACGUCACUCCAGCAGCAUGCAUGGCCAUGUGUAUCAAAAACUGUUCGUGCAAAGUAGUGCUAAGCCAGGAGAAAACGAGUACCUGUUUCCAGAUGAAUGAAGUUUUUGCUCUGAACAGAACUCGCAACGUCGCCGAUCAAGCUUCGCUGUUUUCGAUCAAGUUGUACCAAGCUGGAGAUCUUCCAAAGCUCUCAGCACCAGGCAGCUCGCAGAACAAAGAAGCCAAGCAACAGAAAAAGGCAAAGCCAGCCAUCGUCGGGGCUUUCUCUGUGGCAACCAUGGCUAUAAUCAUCAUCGCAAUGGUGAUCUGGAAGAAACUGAUAAACUCGUACCUCAAACACUACAAACCAUCGUUUCCAUCCGGUGCUAUGGACGUGGUGCGCGUGCGUCUUCACGUACCCGGAGCUCCACACUCCUUCAGUAAGAAAAUCGCUUUGGCACGGCAGGAUGGUAGAGCAAGGAGAUCUAAGCGAUGUCAUGACCAUGAUCCGAGGAACACCCGGAUACAUGAGAUGAGAGUGAGCGACAAACUGGACGUCUACAGCUUUGGGAUCCUUGUGCUGCAAAUGGCAACUGGACUACAAGCUUUCUGUCUUGCGGGAGGCAAAGUUCCUGGCGGCAUGGGCGUUUGAGAAGCUUCGAUCUGGGAAGUUAAUGGAGAUGUUAGAAGAGAAGAGGGCCCGGCACGAAAUGGAGGCUACCUCUAAGGCCGAGAAGCUGCUUCGCAUUGGAAUGUGGUGCAUCCAGCCGGAUCCCAGGGGCGCUCUGCAAUGGCUCAAGUCGUCAAAAUGUUGCAAGGAGUGCCCUAAAUGAAUUCUUUAUUAUUUAAAACCUUUAAGGAGUUAAAACAUUUAGUUUAAUUUAGUUUAAUUUGUUAUAUUUUAGUUUAGUUAAGCAAAAUAAAAAACUUUUAAUUGGAAUAUUUGCCCAAUGUUUUUCUUUUAAUAUGUAUAAUACAUAAAUAAUAUUACUAAAACAUUGUUAUUGUUUAAAUGUCAGUUAUGAAAACCACUUUAGAAUCAUGGUUUUUCUUAGAUCUUAUUAAAGAAGUAGGAAGAUAAAAUAAUUAUUACUCAGUGUUUUUAAAAAAUGGUAAAUCCUUAAAUAUGACAAUAUCAUUUUUAAAUGCACAACCAAAUAAUAGAUGGAAUAUCUUUCCUGAUUUUAGUAUAAUAUAUAAAGGCUUUGAUUUACAAGUAGAAUUUACAAAUAUGAUGGUUGGUUUUGUUAUGGAUGAUUUUGUAAAAUUUGGAUCCACAGAAUAUAUCAAUGGACAAUUUACCAAAUCAUAUCAGUUUGAUUCAGAUUAUAUUUUUCCACAUAAAGUAAAACGUACUCACAACCACAUAAAAACGAUUUCAAUAUUUAUAAGGUCUGCAUAAGAAAUGGACCACACCAUUCUGUCUUUUCUACAUCAUCAAAUGGGAACUUUCUACAAUCUCUAAAUGGAAUAUUCACGCUUUACCUAGUUUUAUAUACAAAGAGUGUAAUUGUUUGGAGCACUCACACAAAUAGCAAUGCUUUCUAAGGUUGCAAAAAGAUGGAAAUAUGGUAAUCUAUGAUGAAAAUUACACGGUUGUUUGGUCAUACAGCAUUUACUGGAAAGACAAAUGGAUUACUAGCGCAUUAUGUGUUGAUAACUCUGGACGUGUUAUAGUAUGCAACACUGUAGAGCAAACUUGUAUAUGCCCAUCACGAAGAUGAGAAUUUAAAAUCUAGCAUUCACUCUACACAAAUAUGAGACAAACGGACAUAAGUUGAUGCUCCAGAAGCUCUUGCGAUGGGGCCAAACGAUUAUUGCCAUGAGUUUUACAAGCCCCAAGCAGCGUCAUGUAGGCAAUGGAGCCCGGCUCGAUUGGCAUGCUAUCGAUCACCUCUUUGGCCUCAUCAAGCCGGCCAGUUCACCCAAGCAAAUCGAUCACACACAUGAAAUGCUCCAAGUUUGGAGGUAUGUGAUGAUCGAGCACAAGAGACUGAAAACUAUGCUUACCACUCUCAAAGAGCCGGGCGUGGCUACAUGGAGAGAGAACACUGACAAUCGUAACUUUGUCCGGCUCAAGCCCCUCGUGCUUCAUCCUCCAGAAGAAAUCAAAAGUUUCAUCAAAAUGACCGUUAUUUGCAUAUGCCGAGAUGAUUCCAUUCCAUGAAACCACGUCCUGCCCUGUCUUUGCCUCAAAAGCCAACGUUGCCCCUUCAAGGUAUCCACACUAAGCAUUUGGUGUUGAGUAGAAAACUAAGCUGGAAGAAGAAUCUAAAUGGAAACAAUGAAUUUGUCUCUUGAGACUUCCUGUAAAUUAGCCAAGUGCUAGUGAAAAAAUCAAAGUAGAAAGAUUCAAGGAAAUGGAGAAAUCCUUGUCCAAACGCCAAAUUCAUACUCAAGAUUGAGAAAUUGUGCUUGCAUAAUGUCUGUCAACCUCAGCUUCCUGAUUCAAUUGUGAACCAUGUGACAAUUGGAUGUCUAGUGUGAAUGAAAGUGUGAUGGGUCAGCUCAGUGCUUGGAAAGUUCUUCAUUUCAACCAUCAGAUCAAAACUGAAUCUAUCUCCCGAGAACAAAAAAUUGAUCAUAAAUGGGUUAGCAAUCUAAGUUUUUAAACUGACAAAGGACAGCAUUCGACGAAACAUCUAGUCCCAAGAUAAUAUUCUAGAACCCUAAAACGCAUCAUGGUUCUAUGCGCGUAGAUGCUGCGGCGACACUACUCCGAAAAUGCCGAUCUCCCACGGAGGCGCGGAUUCUCCACUCGCAGAUCGCCAGGGCGGGCCUGGAUCGCAACACAUUCGUCGCGAAUCUUGUCAUUCACAUGUACAGCGUCUGCGGCGGCCUGCGCGAUGCCGAGAACGUCUUCCACAGCGGCGCAGCCCGCCGCAACGUCUACUCGUGGACGAUCUUGCUUCGAGCAUUUGCCCAGACAGAGGAUCUUGCCAGAGCCAGGGACGUUUUCACGCGAAUGGCUCAUCGCGAUGUGGUCUCCUGGAAUGCGCUGAUUGCCGGGUACGCCGGCGCUGGGAAUCUCUCGCGGUCGCAGGAGCUCUUCGAUUCCAUGCCGGAGAGAGAUCUUGUGUCCUGGAACACGAUCAUCGCGGCGUAUGCCCAGAAUGGGCAUUGCAGAGAGGCGCUGGGAUUUUUCCGGGGCUUGGAUCUCCAGGGCGUGGCGCCGGAUUCCAUCAGCUUCGUGAGCGUUCUCGAUGCCAUUGCCGGGAUCGAAGAGCUGGAUAGAGAUCUGGCAAGGGCGAUUGCCAUGGAAGCAAUCCGCCUGGGAAUUCACACCCAGAUCGCUGUCGGGACGGCGCUCGUUGUGGUUUAUGGAAAGAUUGGCGAGGCCGAGAGCGCGGAGCAUUUCUUUGAUCGGAUCAUUGGCAGGAAUGCGAUAUGCUGGAACGCCAUGCUGUCCGCGUAUGCCCAAUCAGGGAAUCUUUGCAAAGCGCGAGAGUUCUUCGACCGAAUGCCUUGCGUUGAUGUGAUCUCCUGGACGACGAUAAUUGAUGCCACAUCUCGCCAUGAACGGCUCCAGGAUGCAAAGGAUCUCUUUGAUUGCAUCAAACAAAGAGAUUUGGCUGUCUGGAACGCUCUACUUUCAGCAUUUGCCCAAAAGGGGCAUUUUUUUGAGUCUAUAGAUUUGUAUGAAAGACUCCCAGCCCACGAUCUUCGUUCAAGAACAUCACUGCUCAUAGCUUACGCUUCGAAAGGUGACAUGGUUUCGUUGCAGGAGAUAUUUCAUCAAACAAGCCACAAGGAUGCCACUCUCUGGAACGCGAUGAUCACAGCACUUGCCCUGCUUGGGCAUAUGCUAGAAGCUCUAGACCUUUUCGAUUCAAUGGACGUUCUCAAGAACAAACUCACGUACAUCAUCGCCAUCGACGCCUGCGGCAGCCUUGGCGAUCCUGAUCGAUGCGAGAGGAUCUUCCACUUGAGCCAAGCCUGCGGAUCCUUGCGUAGCGAUCACGGAGUAUCGUGCUCCUUGAUCAAGAUGUUUGGGAGAUCCGGUGCGGUGGAGAGGGCCGAGCUCGUCUUCGAGCAGAAGAAGCGGCGGAGAGAGCUCUGGAACGCCAUGAUCGCGACGUAUGCUCACAAUGGAUGCCUCGACGAAGCGAUGCUCCUUUUCAAGACAAUGCCCCGGAGAGAUCUUUCCUCGUGGAGCAUCGUCGCUAGAGCUCAAGCCCAGCAGGGACACUUCGAUCAAGCACUGUUCUUGCUCGAGAUCUCGCCAGAGAUCACUAUCGCGGCAUGCAACGCGCUGAUCACCGCGUAUCUCCAGAGAGGCCACCUCGCUAGCGCGAGGCGGGUAUUCGAUCGGAUGGAGCAGCGAGACACGAGUUCGUGGAGCUCGAUCAUCGCGGCCUAUGCCCAGCUCGGUCACUGCGAGGAAUCACUCGCGCUGUUCUGGCAGAUCGACACAACACCCGACCGCGCGACGUUCCUCGCAGCUCUCGAUGCGUGCUCGGGCCUCUCGAGCCUCUCCCACUGCCGCCAAGUUCACGCAGCGGCGGAUCACACUGGCUGGAUCUCCGAUCUCGCCGUGGCGACUUCACUGGUGGCGAGCUAUGGAAAAUGCAAGGGAGUGGAGGAAUCCAAGGCAGUGUUUGAUCGCAUCGAGCACCCAUCCACUGUCUCGUGGAACUCUUUGCUAAGAUCAUAUGCGCAAAACGGGCAUCUCGCCAAGGCCGCGAGUUUCCUCGAGGAAACCAUUCCUUCUCCAGACGUGGUCUCGUUUAACACGCUCGCGGCGGCUUAUAUCCAGCACGGGAGAGUGAACGAGGCUCUGGAGAUUCUCACGAAAAGGAUGCCCUGCUGGGACAGCUUCUCGCACAACACAGCUAUGGCGGCGCAUGCCCAAGCCGGGCAUAUCCACAAAGCAAAGGAAAUAUUUGAGAAAAUGGAGGAGCCAAGCACGGUCUCGUGGAACACCUUGAUUUGUAUCUUCGUCCAAGCCGGGGAAUGCGAGAGUGCUGCUCGGCUCUUUCACCAAAUGGAUCUGGAAGGCGCCCAGGCGGACAAGGUGAGUUUCUUGGCUGUUCUUGACGCCCUUGGGAGGAUCACCGCUCUCCAAAAGGGAAAGCUUGUGCAUGGUGAGCUCCAUCACUCUAGGUUUCAAUCCGACGUGAUAACAAGCAAUGCCGUUGUCAACUUUUAUGGGAGGUGUGGAUACCUUCAAGGGGCAAAGGUGGCGUUUGAGGCAAUGACAAGGCAGGACGUGGUUUCAUGGAAUGGAAUCAUCUCGGUGUAUGCAAACAACGGGCAUUUUGAGGAAACUUUUGAUCUCUUCUGGAGGAUGAAGCUCGAGGGGCUUGAUCCGGACGAAGUCACGUUUGUCAGUGUUCUCUCUGCAUGUAGCCAUGCCGGGCUCUUUGAGAGUGGUAAGUAUAGUUUCCAGUCUCUUGUGCUCGAUCAUCACAUAGCUCCAAACUUGGAGCAUUUCAUGUGUGUGAUCGAUUUGCUUGGGCGAACUGGCCGGCUUGACGAGGCCCAAGAGGUGAUCGAUAGCAUGCCAAUCGAGCCGGGCUCCAUUGCCUACAUGACGCUGCUUGGAGCUUGUAAAACUCAUGGCAAUAAUCGGCUUGGAAACAUGGCUGCUCCAAGCGCCAUCACAAGAGCUUCUGGAGCAUCAACUUAUGUCCUUCUAUCUCAUAUUUGUGUAGAGUGAAUGCUAGAUUUUAAAUUCUCAUCUUGGUGAUUGCCAUAUACAAGUUUGCUCUACAGUGUUGUAUACUACAACAUGUCCAGAGUUAUCAACACAUAAUGCACUAGUAAUCCAUUUGUCUUUCCAGUAAAUGCUGUCUGACCAAACAACUGUGUAAUUUUCAUCAUAGAUUACCAUAUUUCCAUCUUUUUGCAACCUUAGAAAGCUAUUUGUGUGAGUGCUCCAAACAAUUAUACUCUUUGUAGAUUGCAGUCCUGAAUAAACCAUUUAAAGAUUGCAGAAAGUUCCCAUUUGAUAAUGUAGAAAAGACAGAAUGGUGUGGUUCAUUUCUUAUGCAUACCUUAUAAAUAUUGCAAUCGUUUUUAUAUGGUUUUGUAGGGUGAAAAUAAGCAAAUUUAAUCUGAAUCAAGCUGAUACGAUAUGCUAAACCGUCCAUUCAUAUAUUCUGCUGAUAAUAUCUGUAAAUUCUACUUGUAAAUCAAAGCCUUUAUAUUUUAUCUACUAUUUGAUUGUGCAUUUAAUAAUGAUAUUGUCAUUCUUAAGGAUUUACCAUUUUUUGAAAACACUACUUUAGAAAGUGAAAAUCCUGAGUAAUAAUUAUCUUUUCUUCCUACGUCUUUAAUAAGAUCUAAAAGAAAACCCAUGAUUCUAUGUUUAAAACUGGUUAGUUUGUUAUAUUUUGGUUUAGUUAAGUAAAAUUAAAAUAGUUUAAUUUUUAUUUAUUUAUAAAUUCUUUAAUUUUAAAAUGUAAAACCUUUUACAAGCGUUUGAGAUGAAUAUUUAAUAUGCCCAAAUCUUUAUUUCUCUUAAUUUCUAUAUUAUUUCAAAAACAUUGUUAAACUUUAAGUGCCAUUUACGAAAAUCCAAAUUCUAUAUCACUAAGCCUGGAUCUAAAUAAUAAAUAAUAUCCUCGAAGAAUCUUAGGGCACUUGCAUCGGGCGCUGCUUUGGAUCCGGUUGGAUGCACCACACUCCAAUGCGAAGCAGCUUCUCGGCCUUAGAGGUAGCCUCCAUUUCUUGCCAGACCGAAGCUUCUCAAACCGCCAGGAACUUUGGGCUCCUCCCGCAAGACACACAGGUAUGGAAAGCGCCACUUCCAGCACAAGGAUCCCAAAGCUGUAGAUGUCCAGUUUGUCUCUCACUCUCAUCUGCAACCAUUCCGGAGCCAUGUAUCCGGGUGUUCCUCAGAUCAUUGUCAUGACAUCGCUUAGAUCUCCUUGCUCUACCAUCCUCGACAGUCCAAACUCUGCUAUCUUGACACCAAAGUUUUCGUCCAGGAGUAGGUUUUGCGGCUUGAUGUCCAAGUGCAGGACUCUAGUGCUGCAUUCCUCGUGGAGGUAGCACAUCCCUCGAGCAAUCUCCUCGACUAUCUUGAAUCUCGUGUCCCAGUUGAGCUCUUCCCGCGGCUUGUAGAUCCACUUGUCUAGCGAUCCGUUUGCUACGUACUCGUAAAUCAGGAAGUAGUGUGAUUCCUGGGAAAAAAAGCCUUUGAGUCUUACAAGGUUCUUGUGAUGGAUGAUUCCGAUCGCUCUCACCUCCGCCUUGAACUGUUUGUAUCCUUGGCUCGAGAAGCUCUCCAGCCGUUUCACGGCAACGGAGAGUAUCCCUUCGAAAACCGUGCCAACGCCUCCACUUGCGAUUUUCUCACUGAAGGCUUUGGUUGCAGUGAGGAGCUCCGGGUAAUUAAAGACGCGCAUCAACGAUGGUUUGUAGUGUUUGAGGUACGAGUUUAUCUGUUUCUUCCAGAUCACCAUUGCGAUGAUGAUUAUAGCCAUGGUCGCCACAGAGAAAACCGCGACGAUGGCUGGCUUUGCCUGUUUUUGGUAUUUGGCGACUUUGUGAGUUGCCUGGUGUUGAGAGCUUCGGAAGAUCUCCAGCUUGGUACAACUUGAUCGAAAACAGCAAAGCUUGAUCGACGACGUUGCGAGUUUUGUUCAGAGAAAAAACUUCGGUCAUCUGGAAACAGGUAGUCGUUUCUCCUGGCUUAGCAUCCCUUUGCACGAACAGUUUUUGACACACAGGGCCAUGCACGCUGCUGGAGUGACGUUGUGGAGCGCACUGGAUAAAUCUAGAGGUUUGUAGAAGUAUCGUCCUUUGGCUUCGAGCAUGUAGUAAUGUUGCGAGUUCUCGCAGGUUCUUACAGGUGCUUGCAUCCCUCCUUGUCCCCGGAAGAAACGUACUUCGUGAACGAUGCAGAGGCAUCCUUCAGCUGUCUCGAACGAGAUCCCACAGGUUCGAGUAAGCGAGCUUUUCCCGAAGAAGAGCGGGUUUAAGUUGAUGCUCUUCGUGCUGUUGCCGGUGCUGAAUGAUCUCGAGGUAAACCGGGGCUCUCCAUUCGAGUAGAUCUUGAGGAACUGGUACCCUGCUUGAUCAGUAACACCACCGAUCGUUGGAGUGGACCACAUAACACCUUUCGUCCCGUGGAUUUCCAAGCUGCUAUUGACGAGGAAGAGAAAUGAUAUCUCUUCUUCUUCCUCAUCGAAAAGAUCUCCAGACCUCUCCAAAAGAUCCUCAACAUACUGGAGUUCAAAGCGACCGAGAAGCGGCUACCUCCAGUGAGAAGUACUCUGGCUCUUUGUUCUCCUUAGAGAUGCUGGCUACUAACUUCAUCCCAGGGAGCACAGCAUCACAGACCACCUGCGAGAACCAAAUGAGCAUGAAAGACAACAGCCACGAGAAGUAAAACUUACUUCAAAAGUUGCUUGAAUUCUUUCUUCCCCAGAACUCUAAGAUCUUCGCAUAAUGCCUUUAUCUACAGGAAAAAGUCCUCCCAAUCAAAACAAGCAAACGAGGAAUAGAUAUGAACGUACCUCGUCAGAUGUUUCAGCGUGGUCUUUGAUUGGCGAACUUUUCGGAUCAUCAAACGAAAUAGACGUGAUGCUACCAAGAAGCUCUAGAGGUUUUUCGGACCAGACGAAGUCUGCUGCCGUGCAGUCUUUACGAAAGGUAGUGUUAGCGUCAUCGUAUCUGCAGGAAAAGAAAAACAUAAAAACAAGAGUCUAUUUGACGUGAGAACCCACCCCUCGCGGUGACGUUUCUGUUUACUACUACGAAGAACGUCGAUCACCUACACAAUUUACUCGGCUUUAGCGCAAGCACCUUGUUUACAAUAACAAAACCCACCUUUGGGGGCUGAGGAAUCUCUUCAAAUAAAAAGCGAGGGUCCAAGUUACGCGGAUCGAUUUUCACGGGUGCCAGAUACUUGAGACCAACCACGUAUAUUUCAGCUGAUGUCGAACGACUUGCUACUUCCACCUUGGCAAACAGCUACCAAACGAUACAAGAGGCAAUGAAAUAUCACUCAAAAAACCAUGACAAACAUACCUGUUCAAAUGCAUACUUCAGCGCGUUAUAAUCUUGGGAUCGAAAAACCUGCAAGAAAAAACCAAUUUUGGGAAUCAGAGAAGGAGGAAAAAUUCAAAAAUGGAGGAAGAAAAGGAAUUCUUCGUACCUUGGUGACAAACGUUCCUUUGGGAGCCAGAAACUUGGUAGCCAACUUCAAAGAAUCCAGGACAAGAGACGACUGCGUCAUGGCUUCUUUGGCCCAGGCACCUCCCACAUUGGGGGAGCCAUCGUGGAGCACAACAUCGACCAUUCUCAACCCAUUCUGGUCGAGAAUCUUCCCAAUAUCCGACGCGCAUUUUGGAGUGGUGAUAUCGCCCUGGAGCGCUCUCACGGGGCGAAUCGGCACCAGAUCCACGCCGAUUACCACAGACCUCACGCGGCCACCUGCAUCCAUCCCCCGGGCGCCGCGCACAAAUCCAGCAGCGAGUGCGCCGAGCUGAGGAAGCCAUACUUGCGAUCGAGCUGCACGAGCUUGAAUGCGGCACGAGAGCGGUAGCCCUGCUCCUUGGCGAGGUAGUAGAAGCGAUCCAGCCGGUGCUUCCCCUUUUUCGCCUUCCCCAUCCCUGCAAGACCUAAAACCCUACGACGAACCCUAAAACCCCACUUUAGGUUUACAAGAAAUAUUCUGGUGGAUAUUCGAGCGCUUUUAAAAUGCGUCAGGAUACGAACAUUCAUAAAGUCUUCCCUUCUUGGGUGUAAUGAUGCCAGAGCUCAUAGAAACCUCCAUAUGAUCGUUGUUGCUGCCCCUUGAAAGCAGAAAACAAGAGCGCUUCCAAUCUAGCUGGCGUUGCUGCUGCUGCUGCUGCUUGGGUCGACCAGCAUUUCCAUUCCAAAGAAGAACCUAAAACCCCCUAGAGAAGAGGGUAUCCCAAAGUCCCCCAAUUCAGAGGAGCAAAGCAAAAGGAGAAAUACACACUAGUUAGCAUUGGACACAAAGGAAAAUAGUUCCAAUCACUUUAACUUGGACCACACAGGACAGAGAAGUGCCAUGUAAUCUGCCACAAAUACCCUCUUCUCUCAAAUCUAGGGCCUCUACGCAAUACUCCAAACUUCCAUCCCUAGAUUAUACAAUCCCCAAGUUUUCACACAAGAUCACUCAAUCAAUCAAACAAAACAUCUUUCGAUAACGCGAAACUUGGCAUCUUGUUUGACCAACUUAGAAUGGAUGGAUGCAUUAUUCAUCCCUAGUGUGUUUGUUUGCCUGUCAACCUUUUUGUAGGGUCUGGAAAGUUGUUGUUGUGGUGGUAGUUUUUGUCUUUGAUCUUGUCCUGUGUGGUCCAAGUUAAAGUGAUUGGAAGUAAUGUUGUGUGGUAGCAAGUCGGACGGGAGUGGAAAGAGAGAAGUGCCAUGUAAUCUGCCACAUCAUUGCCAGCAAGGUGGAGAGAGACUGUUUAACAGGAGGCAUGCAUCGCAUGCGGGCAUUCCCCCUUUAUAAACAGAUGCAAAACCUCGCAUUGUCAAGCAUAAUAUUUCUCAAGAAUGGCCAAAGUUCUUCUCUCCGCCCUCCUCUUUGGCCUGCUGCUCUUCGUAGCGGAUGCAUCUCGCAACACUCAGCGUACGUGCAAACACUUCCGCAUUCUUGCAAAUCCUUUCUCUAACCUGCAGAAUGGUUCUAGUGACUGGCAGGGAGAGCGAUGUGACUUAUGUCGUCGAGGGGCCUCGUGAUGGUAACGAGGCUGCUGAUCUCAAUGUUGUCAUCCAGAGCACCCCGAAUCACGGUAACUCUUGUUGUGACCACGAGCUGUCCUUGUGAUGUUGAUUAUGCCACUGCUUCUCCGCUUUUCAUGCUUGCAGGCCUCCAAGAUACAUUCUGCUGCCUGAGCAACGCCUUUGGAUGUCUUCAGAACUGCGACUCCAACAUCAAAUACUACUGCUGCUUGAAGAAUGGAUUCGGGAGCUGCCUACAGCUCUGCGACUCGUCCAAGGAACACUACUGCUGCAAAAAGAACGGCUUUGAGGUCUGCGUUGGAAUGUGCCCCAAAACCGUGGACCUGAUGAAGUGAUCCGCGUUUGAUGAAAAGUAUAUGCAACAUCUGGAAUCAAAAGCUUAUGAUUGCUGAUACUCUUUACAAUUUUUUAUCUAGACAUUUACGUUUUUCAACUGAGUUUGUAAGUUCCCUUUUAGCAUAGCUUGCCAUGCCACUGCUGCUGGAUCGUCCAUUGGGAGACAAGUAGAACUGGAGGCGUUACAAUCCCCUUUGAACAAGGUCUCAGCGCCUCAUUUAAGUAAAUUGUAAGAAAAAAAAACUUGGAAGCUGUUAUAGUCCCAUGCACGUGAAAGGUUCUAAGAAUAUCUUAUUUUAUGAAUAAUUGUUUAAACUUGAGCCUUAGCUCGAUUCAGAAGAUCGUCCCAACACACCUACGAAAGAACGGUGCGCUUUCUUGUCAUGUCUUCCAAUUCCAUGCUGAUAUUCAUCGCCACCUUUGGUUUCUCAAUUGUCUAGUGCAUAAUGCAUCGUCUCAAUGACACUACAAGCGCCAUUGUCCUCCAAGCUCGAAUUAUACUUGGCUUUACCACCCCUAGGAGCAAACCUCGCAAGAGUCUCAGUUCUACUUGUCAGUUUUCCUCCCAAUGGACGCCAUGGAACUAUCCAACAGCGGUGGCAUGGCGAGCUACGCGAAAACCUGUCCGGAAAGGAGCGUACCGCGACCUAGUGCUGAGCGACGUAGAUGAAAUUUUUUUGUGGUCGACCAACACGGGCCUCGAGAGCUCUGGAAAUCUCGUAAUCCGGAGCAAAACUGGAGCUUUGCUGUGGCAGAGCUUUGGUCAUCCCGGUGAUGCUAUGCUCCCUGCCAGCCUCUAAAACCAGGGAUGAAGUUAGUAGCCAGCAUCUCUAACGAGAACAAAGAGCGAGGGUACUUCUCACUCGGGUAAGCUGCUUCUUGGUCGCUUUGAACUCCAGUAUGUUGGGAUAUUUUGGAGAGCUCUGGAGCUCCGACGAGGAAGAAGAAGAGAUAUCGUUUCUCUUCCUCGUCAAUAGCAGCUUGGAAAUCCACGGGACGAAAGGUGUUAUGUGGUCCACUCCAACGAUCGGUGAUGUUACUGGUCAAUACGGAUACCAGUUACUCAAGAUCUACUCGAAUGGAGAGCUCCAUUUUACCUCGAGAUCAUUCAGCAGCAGCAACAGCACGACGAGCAUCGACUUAAAACCCGCAGUUAUUCGGGAACAGCUUGCUUACUCGAACCUGUGGGAUCUCGUUCCAGACAGCUGAUGGAUGCCUCUGUCCGGAGCUCAAGAACGACACCAGGGGAUCGUCAUCCAUGGAGUACGUUUCUUCCGGGGACAAGGAGAGGUGCAAGCCCGAAAACGAACCUGGAAGAGCCUGCGAGAACUCGCAACAUACUACAUGCUCGAAGCCACAGUACGAUACUUCUACAAACCUCUAGAUUUAUCCAGUGCGCUCCACAACGUCACUCCAGCAGCGUGCAUGGCCCUGUGUAUCAAAAACUGUUCGUGCAAAGCAGUUCUAAGCCAGGAGAAAACGAGUACCUGUUUCCAGAUGAAUGAAGUUUUUGCUUUGAACAGAACUCGCAACGUCGUCGAUCAAGCUUUGCUGUUUUAGAUCAAGUUGUACCAAGAUGGAGAUCUUCCAAAGCUCUCAGCACCAGGCAGCUCGCAGAACAAAGUAGCCAAGCAGCAGAAAAAGGCAAAGCCAGCCCUCGUCGCGGCUUUCUCUGUGGCAACCAUGGCUAUAAUCAUCAUCGCAAUGGUGAUCUGGAAGAAACAGAUAAACUCGUAGCUCAAACACUACAAACCAUCGCUUCCAUCCGGUGCUAUGGACGUGGUGCGCGUCUUCACGUACCCGGAGCUCCACACUGCAACCAAAGCCUUCAGUAAGAAAAUCGCAAGUGGAGGCUUUGGCACGGUUUUCGAAGGGAUACUCUCGGAUGGAUCCAAGGUUCCUGUCAAGCGUCUGGAAACCUUCUCGAGCCAAGGAUACAAGCAGUUCAAGGCGGAGGUGGGGGCGAUCAGAAGCAUCCAUCACAAGAACCUCGUAAGACUCAAAGGCUUUUGUUCCCAGGAAUCACACCACUUCCUGGUUUACGAGUACGUACCAAACGGAUUGCUAGACAAGUGGAUCUACAAGCCGCUGGAAGAGCUCAACUGGGACACGAGAUUCAGGAUAGUCGAGGAGAUUGCUCAAGGGAUUCGCUACCUCCACGAGGAAUGCAGCACUAGAGUCCUCCACUUGGAUAUCAAGCCGCAAAACAUACUCCUGGACGAGAACUUUGGUGUCAAGAUAGCAGACUUUGGACUGUCCAGGAUGGUAGAGCAAGGAGAUCUAAGCGAUGUCAUGACCAUGAUCCGAGGAACACCCGGACAUAUGAGAUGAGAGUGAGCGACAAACUGGACGUCUACAGCUUUGGGAUCCUUGUGCUGGAAGUGGCUACCGGAUUACAAGCUUUCCAUACCUGUGUGUCUUGCGGGAGGAGCCCGGGCAUGGGCGUUUGAGAAGCUUCGGUCUGGGAAGUUAAUGGAGAUGUUAGAAGAGAAGAGGGCCCGGCACGAAAUGGAGGCUAUCUCUAAGGCCGAGAAGCUGCUUCGCAUUGGAGUGUGGUGCAUCCAGCCGGAUCCAAGGGAGCGCCCUGCAAUGGCUCAAGUCGUCAAAAUGUUGCAAGGAGUGCCCUAAAAUUCUUUGACCAAUGAAUUCUUUAUUAUUUAGAUCCUUUAAGGAGUUAAAGCUUUUAGUUUAAUCUAGUUUAAUAUGUUAUAUUUUAGUUUAGUUAAGAAAAUUAAAAAAGUUUUAUUUGGAAUAUUUUCCCAAUUUUUCCUUUUAAUAUUAAAACAUGGUUAUUAUUUAAAUGUCAGUUACGAAAACCACUUUAGAAUCAUUGUUUUUUUAGAUCUUAUUAAAGAAGUAAGAAAAAUAAUUAUUGCUCCGUGUUUUUGAAUAAAUAUGACAAUAUCAUUUUUAAAUGCACAACCAAAUAGUAGAUGGAAUAUCUUUCCUGAUUUUAGUAUAAUAUAUAAAGGCUUUGAUUUACAAGUAGAAUUUACAAAUAUGAUGGUUGGUUUUGUUAUGGAUGCUUUUUGUAAAAUUUGGAUCCACAGAAUAUAUCAAUGGACAAUUUACCAAAUCAUAUCAGUUUGAUUCAGAUUAUAUUUUUCCACAUAAAGUAAAACGUACUCACAACCACAUAAAAACGAUUUCAAUAUUUAUAAGGUCUGCAUAAGAAAUGGACCACACCAUUUUUGUCUUUUCUACAUUAUCAAAUGGGAACUUUCUGCAAUCUCUAAAUGGAAUAUUCACGCUUUACAUGCAACUGGAUUGCAAUCUAGUUUUAUAUACAAAGAGUGUAAUUGUUUGGAGCACUCACACAAAUAGCAAAGGCAAUGGAUGCUUUCUAAGGUUGCAAAAAGAUGGAAAUAUGGUAAUCUAUGAUGAAAAUUACACGGUUGUUUGGUCAUACAGCAUUUACUGGAAAGACAAAUGGAUUACUAGCGCAUUAUGUGUUAAUAACUCUGGACGUGUUAUAGUAUGCAACACUGUAGAGCAAACUUGUAUAUGCCCAUCACGAAGAUGAGAAUUUAAAAUCUAGCAUUCACUCUACACAAAUAUGAGACAAACGGACAUAAGUUGAUGCUCCAGAAGCUCUUGCGAUGGCGCCAAACCGAUUAUUGCCAUGAGUUUUACAAGCCCCAAGCAGCGUCAUGUAGGCAAUGGAGCCCGGCUCGAUUGGCAUGCUAUCGAUCACCUCUUGGGCCUCAUCAAGCCGGCCAGUUCACCCAAGCAAAUCGAUCACACACAUGAAAUGCUCCAAGUUUGGAGCUAUGUGAUGAUCGAGCACAAGAGGCUGGAAACUAUGCUUACCACUCUCAAAGAGCCGGGCGUGGCUACAUGCAGAGAGAACACUGACAAUUGUAACUUCGUCCGGAUCAAGCCCCUCGUGCUUCAUCCUCCAGAAGAAAUCAAAAGUUUCAUCAAAAUGACCGUUGUUUGCAUAUACCGAGAUGAUUCCAUUCCAUGAAACCAUGUCCUGCCCUGUCGUUGCCUCAGAAGCCAACCUUGCCCCUCCAAGGUAUCCACACUAAGCAUUUGGUGUUGAGUAGAAAACUAAGCUGGGAGAAGAAUCUAAAUGGAAACAAUGAAUUUCUCUCUUGAGACUUCCUGAAAAUUAGUGGUGCCCAAGUGCUAGUGAAAAAAUCAAAGUAGAAAGAUUCAAGGAAAGGGAGAAAUCCUUGUCCAAACGCCAAAUUCAUACUCAAGAUUGAGAAAUUGUGCUUGCAUAAUGUCUGUCAAAGCUACCUGAUUCAAUUGUGAAUUCUGGAUGUCUAGUGUGAAUGAAAGUGUGAUGGUUCACCUCAGUGCUUGGAGAGUUCUUCAAUUCGAACAUCAAAUCAGAACUGAAUCUAUCUCCCCAGAACAAAAAAUUGAUCAUUAAUGUGUUAGCAAUCUAAGUUUUUAAACUGACAAAGGACAGCAUUCGAAGAAACAUCCCAAGAAAAUAUUUUAGAACCCUAAAACGCAUCAUGGUUCUAUGCGCGUAAAUGCUGCGGCGGCACUACUCCGAAAAUGCCGAUCUCCCACGGAGGCGCGGAUUCUCCACUCGCAGAUCGCCAGGGCGGGCCUGGAUCGCAACACAUUCGUCGCGAAUCUUGUCAUUCACAUGUACAGCGUCUGCGGCAGCCUGCGGGAUGCCGAGAACGUCUUCCACAGCGGCGCAGCCCGCCGCAACGUCUACUCGUGGACGAUCUUGCUGCGAGCAUUUGCCCAGACAGAGGAUCUUGCCAGAGCCAGGGACGUUUUCACGCGAAUGGCUCAUCGCGAUGUGGUCUCCUGGAAUGCGCUGAUUUCCGGGUGCGCAGGCGCUGGGAAUCUCUCGCGGUCGCAGGAGCUCUUCGAUUCCAUCCCGGAGAGAGAUCUUGUGUCCUGGAACACGAUCAUCGCGGCGUAUGCCCAGAAUGGGCAUUGCAGAGAGGCGCUGGGAUUUUUCCGGGGCUUGGAUCUCGAGGGCGUGGCGCCGGAUUCCAUCAGCUUCGUGAGCGUUCUCGAUGCCAUUGCCGGGAUCGAAGGGCUGGAUAGAGAUCUGGCAAGGGCGAUUGCCAUGGAAGCAAUCUGGCUGGGAAUUCAUACCCAGAUCGCUGUCGGGGCGGCGCUCGUUGUGGUUUAUGGAAAGAUUGGCGAGGCCGAGAGCGCGGAGCAUUUCUUUGAUCGGAUCAUUGGCAGGAAUGCGAUAUGCUGGAACGCCAUGCUGUCCGCGUAUGCCCAAUCAGGGAAUCUUUGCAAAGCGCGAGAGUUCUUCGACCGAAUGCCUUGCGUUGAUGUGAUCUCCUGGACGACGAUAAUUGAUGCCACAUCUCGCCAUGAACGGCUCCAGGAGGGAAAGGAUCUCUUUGAUUGCAUGAAACAAAGAGAUUUGGCUGUCUGGAACGCUCUACUUUCGGCAUUUGCCCAAAAGGGGCAUGUUUUGGAGUCUAUAGAUUUGUAUGAAAGGCUCCCAGCCCACGAUCUUCGUUCAAGAACAUCACUGCUCAUAGCUUAUGCUUCGAAAGGUGACAUGGUUUCGUUGCUUGAGAUAUUUCAUCAAACAAGCCACAAGGACGUCACUCUCUGGAACGCGAUGAUCACAGCACUUGCCCUGCUUGGGCAUCUGCUAGAAGCUCUAGACCUUUUCGAUUCAAUGGACGUUCUCAAGAACAAACUCACGUACAUCAUCGCCAUCGACGCCUGCGGCAGCCUUGGCGAUCCUGAUCGAUGCGAGAGGAUCUUCCACUUGAGCCAAGCCUGCGGAUCCUUGCGUAGCAAUCACGGAGUAUCGUGCUCCUUGAUCAAGAUGUUUGGCAGAUCCGGUGCGGUGGAGAGGGCCGAGCUCGUCUUCGAGCAGAAGAAGCGGCGGAGAGAGCUCUGGAACGCCAUGAUCGCGACGUAUGCUCACAAUGGAUGCCUCGACGAAGCGAUGCUCCUUUUCAAGACAAUGCCCCGGAGAGAUCUUUCCUCGUGGAGCAUCGUCGCUAGAGCUCAAGCCCAGCAGGGACACUUCGAUCAAGCACUGUUCUUGCUCGAGAUCUCGCCAGAGAUCACUAUCGCGGCAUGCAACGCGCUGAUCACCGCGUAUCUCCAGAGAGGCCACCUCGCUAGCGCGAGGCGGGUAUUCGAUCGGAUGGAGCAGCGAGACACGAGUUCGUGGAGCUCGAUCAUCGCGGCCUAUGCCCAGCUCGGUCACUGCGAGGAAUCACUCGCGCUGUUCUGGCAGAUCGACACAACACCCGACCGCGCGACGUUCCUCGCAGCUCUCGAUGCGUGCUCGGGCCUCUCGAGCCUCUCCCACUGCCGCCAAGUUCACGCAGCGGCGGAUCACACUGGCUGGAUCUCCGAUCUCGCCGUGGCGACUUCACUGGUGGCGAGCUAUGGAAAAUGCAAGGGAGUGGAGGAAUCCAAGGCAGUGUUUGAUCGCAUCGAGCACCCAUCCACUGUCUCGUGGAACUCUUUGCUAAGAUCAUAUGCGCAAAACGGGCAUCUCGCCAAGGCCGCGAGUUUCCUCGAGGAAACCAUUCCUUCUCCAGACGUGGUCUCGUUUAACACGCUCGCGGCGGCUUAUAUCCAGCACGGGAGAGUGAACGAGGCUCUGGAGAUUCUCACGAAAAGGAUGCCCUGCUGGGACAGCUUCUCGCACAAAACAGCUAUGGUGGCGCAUGCCCAAGCCGGGCAUAUCCACAAAGCAAAGGAAAUAUUUGAGAAAAUGGAGGAGCCAAGCACGGUCUCGUGGAACACCUUGAUUUGUAUCUUCGUCCAAGCCGGGGAAUGCGAGAGUGCUGCUCGGCUCUUUCACCAAAUGGAUCUGGAAGGCACCCAGGCGGACAAGGUGAGUUUCUUGGCUGUUCUUGACGCCCUUGGGAGGAUCACCGCUCUCCAAAAGGGAAAGCUUGUGCAUGGUGAGCUCCAUCACUCUAGGUUUCAAUCCGACGUGAUGACAAGCAAUGCCGUUGUCAACUUUUAUGGGAGGUGUGGAUACCUUCAAGGGGCAAAGGUGGCGUUUGAGGCAACGACAAGGCAGGACGUGGUUUCAUGGAAUGGAAUCAUCUCGGUGUAUGCAAACAACGGGCAUUUUGAGGAAACUUUUGAUCUCUUCUGGAGGAUGAAGCUCGAGGGGCUUGAUCCGGACGAAGUCACGUUUGUCAGUGUUCUCUCUGCAUGUAGCCAUGCCGGGUUCUUUGAGAGUGGUAAGUAUAGUUUCCAGUCUCUUGUGCUCGAUCAUCACAUAGCUCCAAACUUGGAGCAUUUCAUGUGUGUGAUCGAUUUGCUUGGGCGAAGUGGCCGGCUUGACGAGGCCCAAGAGGUGAUCGAUAGCAUGCCAAUCGAGCCGGGCUCCAUUGCCUACAUGACGCUGCUUGGAGCUUGUAAAACUCAUGGCAAUAAUCGGCUUGGAAACAUGGCUGCUCCAAGCGCCAUCACAAGAGCUUCUGGAGCAUCAACUUAUGUCCUUCUAUCUCAUAUUUGUGUAGAGUGAAUGCUAGAUUUUAAAUUCUCAUCUUGGUGAUUGCCAUAUAGAAGUUUGCUCUACAGUGUUGUAUACGACAACAUGUCCAGAGUUAUCAACACAUAAUGCACUAGUAAUCCAUUUGUCUUUCCAGUAAAUGCUGUCUGACCAAACAACCGUGUAAUUUUCAUCAUAGAUUACCAUAUUUCCAUCUUUUUGCAACCUUAGAAAGCAUCCAUUGCCUUUGCUAUUUGUGUGAGUGCUCCAAACAAUUACACUCUUUGUAGAUUGCAGUCAAGUUGCAUGUAAAGCAUGAAUAAACCAUUUAAAGAUUGCAGAAAGUUCCCAUUUGAUAAUGUAGAAAAGACAGAAUGGUGUGGUCCAUUUCUUAUGCAUACCUUAUAAUAUUGCAAUCGUUUUUAUAUGGUUUUGUAGGGUGAAAUAAGCAAGUUUUACUUUAUCUGGAAAAAUAUAAUCUGAAUCGAGCUGAUACUAUAUGCUAAACCGUCCAUUGAUAUAUUCUACAAAAUCAUCCAUAACAAAAUCAGCCAUCAUAUCUGUAAAUUCUACUUGUAAAUCAAAGCCUUUAUAUUUUAUCUACUAUUUGGUUGUGCAUUUAAUAAUGAUAUUGUCAUUCUUAAGGAUUUACCAUUUUUUGAAAACACUACUUUAGAAAGUGAAAAUCCUGAGUAAUAAUUAUCUUUUCUUCCUACGUCUUUAAUAAGAUCUAAAAGAAAACCCAUGAUUCUAUGUUUAAAACUGGUUAGUUUGUUAUAUUUUGGUUUAGUUAAGUAAAAUUAAAAUAGUUUAAUUUUUAUUUAUUUAUAAAUUCUUUAAUUUUAAAAUGUAAAACCUUUUACAAGCGUUUGAGAUGAAUAUUUAAUAUGCCCAAAUCUUUAUUUCUCUUAAUUUCUAUAUUAUUUCUAAAACAUUGUUACACUUUAAGUGUCAUUUACGAAAAUCCAAAUUCUAUAUCACUAAGCCUGGAUCUAAAUAAUAAAUAAUAUCCUCGAAGAAUCUUAGGGCACUUGCAUCGGGCGCUGCUUUGGAUCCGGUUGGAUGCACCACACUCCAAUGCGAAGCAGCUUCUCGGCCUUAGAGGUAGCCUCCAUUUCUUGCCGCGCCCUCUUCUCUUCUAACAUCUCCAUUAACUUCCCAGACCGAAGCUUCUCAAACCGCCAGGAACUUUGGGCUCCUCCCGCAAGACACACAGGUAUGGAAAGCUUGAAGUCCGCUAGCCACUUCCAGCACAAGGAUCCCAAAGCUGUAGAUGUCCAGUUUGUCUCUCACUCUCAUCUGCAACCAUUCCGGAGCCAUGUAUCCGGGUGUUCCUCAGAUCAUUGUCAUGACAUCGCUUAGAUCUCCUUGCUCUACCAUCCUCGACAGUCCAAACUCUGCUAUCUUGACACCAAAGUUUUCGUCCAGGAGUAGGUUUUGCGGCUUGAUGUCCAAGUGCAGGACUCUAGUGCUGCAUUCCUCGUGGAGGUAGCACAUCCCUCGAGCAAUCUCCUCGACUAUCUUGAAUCUCGUGUCCCAGUUGAGCUCUUCCCGCGGCUUGUAGAUCCACUUGUCUAGCGAUCCGUUUGCUACGUACUCGUAAAUCAGGAAGUAGUGUGAUUCCUGGGAAAAAAAGCCUUUGAGUCUUACAAGGUUCUUGUGAUGGAUGAUUCCGAUCGCUCUCACCUCCGCCUUGAACUGUUUGUAUCCUUGGCUCGAGAAGCUCUCCAGCCGUUUCACGGCAACGGAGAGUAUCCCUUCGAAAACCGUGCCAACGCCUCCACUUGCGAUUUUCUCACUGAAGGCUUUGGUUGCAGUGAGGAGCUCCGGGUAAUUGAAGACGUGCACCACGUCCAUAGCACCGAACGGAAACGAUGGUUUGUAGUGUUUGAGAUACGAGUUUAUCUGUUUCUUCCAGAUCACCAUUGCGAUGAUGAUUAUAGCCAUGGUUGCCACAGAGAAAACCGCGACGAUGGCUGGCUUUGCCUGUUUUUGCUACUUGGCGACUUUGUGAGUUGAGCUUCGGAAGAUCUCCAGCUUGGUACAGCUUGAUCGAAAACAGCAAAGCUUGAUCGACGACGUUGCGAGUUUUGUUCAGAGAAAAAACUUCGAUCAUCUGGAAACAGGUAGUCGUUUCUCCUGGCUUAGCACCCCUUUGCACGAACAGUUUUUGAUACACAGGGCCAUGCACGCUGCUGGAGUGACGUUGUGGAGCGCACUGGAUAAAUCUAGAGGUUUGUAGAAGUAUCGUACUGUGGCUUCGAGCAUGUAGUGAUGUUGCGAGUUCUCGCAGGUUCUUCCAGGUGCUUGCAUCCCUCCUUGUUCCCGGAAGAAACGUACUUCGUGAACGAUGCAGAGGCAUCCUUCAGCUGUCUCGAACGAGAUCCCACAGGUUCGAGUAAGCGAGCUUUUCCCGAAGAAGAGGGGGUUUAAGUUGAUGCUCUUCGUGCUGUUGCCGGUGCUGAAUGAUCUCGAGGUAAACCGGGGCUCUCCAUUCGAGUAGAUCUUGAGGAACUGGUGCCCUGUUUGAUCAGUAACACCACCGAUCGUUGGAGUGGACCACAUAACACCUUUCGUCCCGUGGAUUUCCAAGCUGCUAUUGACGAGGAAGAGAAAUGAUAUCUCUUCUUCUUCCUCAUCGGAGCUCCAGACCUCUCCAAAAGAUCCUCAACAUACUGGAGUUCAAAGCGACCGAGAAGCGGCUACCUCGAGUGAGAAGUACCCUGGCUCUUUGUUCUCCUAGAGAUGCUGGCUACUAACUUCAUCCCAGGGAGCACAGCAUCACAGGGAUGAUCAAAGCUCUGCCACAGGAAAGCUCCAAUUUUGCUCCGGAUGACGAGAUUUCCAGAGCUCUCGAGGGCCAAGACUUGCGCUCCAGAUCCUCCCGUGUUGGUCAACCACACAAAGCUUCCAAUGUCACUGGAAGCACCAUCUUCCUCCAAGCUCCACUCUCGAAUCCACUCCAGAUAUUUCGAAUUAGCCUUGGCUUCAGCACCCCUUCCUGCCUCCUACUUGGGAGCAAACCUCCCAAGAGUUCCAGUUCUACUUGUCAGUCUUCUACGCCAUGGACGACAAGGAGAGUUUCAAUCUCUACUAUCUAGCAGCGGUGACAUGGCGAGCUACGCGAAAACCGUCCCGAAAGGAGCGUACCUCAGCUUUACCAGCGAUGGCGACCUGGUGCUGAGCGACGUGGAUAGGUACCCAGCUUGUGCUUGGCUUGGCUGUGGAUUCCUGUUGGCAUUGUCCAAGGAGAACCAGCGGACGAUCUUAUGAAUCGAGCUAAUGAUCAAGUUUAAAUAUUCUUAGAACCUUAGAACGAACUAUGAUUUACUUGAAUGAGGACUUGUUCAAAGCUACUUGUCUCCCAAUGGACGAUCCAGCAGCAAUGGCAUGGCAAGCUACCUUACAAACUCAGUUGAAAAAAGUAAAAGUAUAGCGAAAAUCUUGUAAAAAUAUAAAAUUCGUAGAGAGUAUCAGCAAUUAUAAGCUUUUGAUCCCAGAUGUUGCUUACACUUGUCAUCAAACGCAGAUCACUUCAUCAGGUUCACCGUUUUGGGGCACAUUCCAAGGCAGGUACCAAAAGGGUUCUUCUUGCAGCAGUAGUGUUUCUUGGACGAGUCGCACAGCUGAAAGCAGGUACCAAGAGGGUUCUUGAGGCAGCAGAAGUAUUUGACAUUGGUCUCGCAAAGUUGCAGGCAGCCGCCGAGUCCAUUCUUGAGGCAGCAGUAGUAUUUGAUCUUGGAGUCGCACUCCUGAACACAUGAUCCCAAACCAUCCUUCAGGCAGCAGUACUUAUCUUGGAGGCCUGCAGCAUUAACAAACGGAGAAGCAGUGGCGCAUAAUAAAUAUCACAAGGACAACUCAUGAUCACAACAAGAGGGAUCAUAACGUGAUCUAUGUUACCGUGUUUGGAGGGGAUGACAACAUUGAGACCAGCAGCCUC
RNAcentral lists this long non-coding RNA (32310 nucleotides) under Selaginella moellendorffii. Its description in RNAcentral is "long non-coding RNA (SMOE_LNC000140)". Lineage: Eukaryota; Viridiplantae; Streptophyta; Lycopodiopsida; Selaginellales; Selaginellaceae. The record is from RNAcentral.